GCCUCCUUAGCUCAAGCGGUUGAGCCCCCUGCAAACGGCGCCCAAGCGAAUUUGGGUGGUCGCGGGUUCGAUUCGCUAAGGAGGUA
Mycena galericulata is the source of this 86-nucleotide non-coding RNA. The record is from the annotation of a GenBank genome assembly. Lineage: Eukaryota; Fungi; Basidiomycota; Agaricomycetes; Agaricales; Mycenaceae.